RNAcentral lists this transfer RNA (58 nucleotides) under Cricetulus griseus (Chinese hamster). It matches the Rfam family "tRNA", at positions 8 to 63 of the family's 71-position model. Rfam says of the family: Transfer RNA (tRNA) molecules are approximately 80 nucleotides in length. Their secondary structure includes four short double-helical elements and three loops (D, anti-codon, and T loops). Lineage: Eukaryota; Metazoa; Chordata; Mammalia; Rodentia; Cricetidae. The record is from Rfam by way of RNAcentral.
UGGCUUAGUGGUUAAGAGCACUGACUGCUCUUUCAGAGGACCUGGGUUCAAUUCCCAG